AAUUUUGGACAAUGGGGGAAACCUUGAUCCAGCCAUCCCGCGUGUAUGAGGAAGGCCUUCGGGUUGUAAAGUACUCUUGGCAGAGAAGAAAAGGUAUCUCCUAAUACGAGAUACUGCUGACGGCAUCGGCAGAAGAAGCACCGGCUAACCACGUGCCAGCAGCCGCGUUAAAACGUAGGGUGCAAGCGUUAAUCGUAAUUAAUGGGCGUAAAGCGUGUGUAGGCGGUUCGGAAAGAAAGAUGGUGAAUCGCAGGGCUCAACCUUGGAACUGCAUUUUUAACUGCCGAGCUAGAGUAUGUCAGAGGGGGGUAGAAUUCCACGUGUAGCAGUGAAAUGCGUAGAUAUGUGGAGGAAUACCGAUGGCGAAGGCAGCCCCCUGGGAUAAUACUGACGCUCAGACACGAAAGCGUGGGGAGCAAACAG
This 423-nucleotide ribosomal RNA is filed under the name uncultured bacterium. RNAcentral describes it as "partial 16S ribosomal RNA". It matches the Rfam family "Bacterial small subunit ribosomal RNA", at positions 360 to 775 of the family's 1533-position model. The record is from RNAcentral.